GGGAGACGCUGGCAACUUCUGCCUACGGGAAGAGCGGAGUGGGAUGCGCGCGAAGCCCCAAGGACUGGCUGGCUGCCGUCCCCAAAGACCCAUCGCGUCCAGGGGUCACUCCCCCGAGGGCUCAGGAGAGAGGUAACGCGACCCCGCACGCUCCCUCCACCGCCAAACGCGGUCCAGGAGCUCGGAACGUGCAGUCAGCGGCAGGCGAAGCGCCCUGGGAGCACCUGUCCUCCCGCAGCACGUUUCCAACCCGCACACUCGUCCUCUCCCCGCGCGCCGGGUCCGCUUCUCCGCACCCCGACCUCCCCGAGCCCGAGCGCGGCCCCUAACACACGGGGGCCACCCCCAGCUUCAUGCAAAAACGAUCAUGCCAACGCACCUCCCCUCCGCACGGCUCCCUGCAACUUCAGAAACUACAGUCAACUUACCGGGACGCGGAGACCGGGAGCCCUCCGGGGUGGGGCGGGGGGACCGCGCUCGGCUGCGCGCAACCCCGCUGGCCCCGCACCGCCCGGGCGGCUGCACGGCUGCUCGGCUGCUCGGCUGCACGGCUGCUCGGCUGCACGGCUGCACGGCUGCACGGCUGCUCGGCUGCUCGGCUGCACGGCUGCUCGGCUGCACGGCUGCACGGCUAGGCGCCGCCGCUCUGCACCAGCCGCCUCGCUCCGCCGCGCCCGGGGCCGGGGGCACUGGCCAGGGCGCGGCGGCUGCGGCGGCACCGGCCGCGCGGACCCGGAGCUGCAGGCGCCGCCGACCCCGGAGCGCGGCGCUCCGAGCCCCCGGCGCGUGUCUCCGGCUCCGAGCGAACGGCCGCUCGGCGAGGACCGCGGCACCGGGAGAGCCGAGGCGCCGUGCCCCGCAGAGCCUCCGGGGGGCUCCCGGGCGGCCGGUCACAUCGCGCGCGCAGCACCGCAGUCCGCACUCGCCGCCGCGCCGCGGAGAAUGACAGGCGCCGAGGCGGAGCAGCCGUGCGGGGCGCGGGGCGCCAGUGCGCAUGAUCCCGGCCGGCUGCGGCACGUCACGGGGGAGGGGGAGGGCGGGGAGGGGAGGGGAGGGAGGGGGAGGGCGGGGAGGGGGCGCGCUGGGCGGGGCCGGGGCGGGGGCGGGGGCCUGGCGCCGCGCCCCGCUCCGCUCCCUAGCGGGGAGGCGCAGGAAGUCUCCGCCUCGGGGUUCUGCGAGCCCUAG
Molecule: long non-coding RNA, 1185 nt
Filed under: Canis lupus familiaris (dog)
Lineage: Eukaryota; Metazoa; Chordata; Mammalia; Carnivora; Canidae
Description: lncRNA (ENSCAFG00030011460.1)
Source: RNAcentral